UACAGAGGAUGCAAGCGUUAUCCGGAAUGAUUGGGCGUAAAGCGUCUGUAGGUGGCUUUUUAAGUCCGCCGUCAAAUCCCAGGGCUCUACUCUGGACAGGCGGUGGAAACUACCAAGCUGGAGUACGGUAGGGGCAGAGGGAAUUUCCGGUGGAGCGAUGAAAUGCGUAGAGAUCGGAAAGAACACAAACGGUGAAAGCACUCUGCUGGGCCGACACUGACAUUGAGAGACGGAAGCUAGCGGAGCGAAUGGG
Molecule: ribosomal RNA, 253 nt
Filed under: uncultured bacterium
Lineage: Bacteria
Description: partial 16S ribosomal RNA
Rfam family: Bacterial small subunit ribosomal RNA
Source: RNAcentral